This 323-nucleotide ribosomal RNA is filed under the name Streptococcus salivarius. Its description in RNAcentral is "bacterial SSU rRNA". It matches the Rfam family "Bacterial small subunit ribosomal RNA", at positions 20 to 332 of the family's 1533-position model. Lineage: Bacteria; Bacillati; Bacillota; Bacilli; Lactobacillales; Streptococcaceae. The record is from RNAcentral.
UGGCUCAGGACCGAACGCUGGCGGCGUGCCUAAUACAUGCAAGUAGAACGCUGAAGAGAGGAGCUUGCUCUUCUUGGAUGAGUUGCGAACGGGUGAGUAACGCGUAGGUAACCUGCCUUGUAGCGGGGGAUAACUAUUGGAAACGAUAGCUAAUACCGCAUAACAAUGGAUGACCCAUGUCAUUUAUUUGAAAGGGGCAAAUGCUCCACUACAAGAUGGACCUGCGUUGUAUUAGCUAGUAGGUGAGGUAACGGCUCACCUAGGCGACGAUACAUAGCCGACCUGAGAGGGAGAUCGGCCACACUGGGACUGAGACACGGCCC